CCCCUGCAGCGCGGCCACUGCCCGGUCCACGUUCUGCUGCUUCCGGCUGCUGAUAACGACGUGGGCCCCGUCCCGGGCCAGACGCCGGGCGAUGGCGAAGCCGAUCCUGCGGCAGAGAGAGGUGCCUGUCAAUGCCAGACUCUAGGUGGGGCCGCUUGACUGGGGCAGCCCAGAGCCCUGGGCGGCUGAAGUGGCGCCGUUGAGCCAGGGCCAGCAGGGACAGGAGACCGGCAGAAGUGAGGCCAAGGCAAGAGGAUUCGGAGGCGCUGCAGGCCGGCCACGUGGUUCCUUUCUUCGGGGGUCAGACUUUGCCCGGGAGUGAGGUCUGAGGUCUAAGGACGCCGGCCGGACGCAAAGGCCAAGGGAACGUCAAGAUGGACCUCCAUCUCCAGGAAAGUCUGGGUCUACAUAUGUGAUAGCUCACAAGAGGGCAAAUGUUUUGAGAUUGCCCAUGGAAGUGAGGCCUGUGGUCCCCGCGGAGUCAUCAGGCCUGGAGGGCCGACUCUGAUCACUAUGGUAACCACUGUGCAGGGAAAAAGAUCCUGACUGGACAAGACUUCUGGAACCCUCCACCCCAAGAGGACUGCCCCAUUGUACAGGGCCUGAGUGGUAGCAAGAGAGAUAGAGACAGCCAGCGAGAGAGGGAACAACAAGCAGGAGGAAUGGGAGAGGAA
Long non-coding RNA from Ailuropoda melanoleuca (giant panda), 674 nucleotides. RefSeq lists it as uncharacterized. The record is from RefSeq and is a predicted model, not a curated record. NCBI's taxonomy places the organism in Eukaryota, Metazoa, Chordata, Mammalia, Carnivora, Ursidae. The transcript is spliced from 5 exons.